RNAcentral lists this ribosomal RNA (433 nucleotides) under uncultured bacterium. RNAcentral describes it as "partial 16S ribosomal RNA". It matches the Rfam family "Bacterial small subunit ribosomal RNA", at positions 29 to 507 of the family's 1533-position model. The record is from RNAcentral.
AACGAACGCUGGCGGCAUGCCUAACACAUGCAAGUCGAACGAGACCUUCGGGUCUAGUGGCGCAAGGGUGCGUAACGCGUGGGAACCUGCCCCUAGGUUCGGAAUAACUCCCCGAAAGGGGUGCUAAUACCGGCUAAUGUCUUCGGACCAAAGAUUUAUCGCCUUUGGAUGGGCCCGCGUUGGAUUAGCUAGUUGGUAGGGUAAAAGCCUACCAAGGCGACGAGCCAUAGCUGGUCUGAGAGGAUGAUCAGCCACACUGAGACUGAGACACGGCCCAGACUCCUACGGGAGGCAGCAGUGGGGAAUAUUGGACAAUGGGCGAGAGCCUGAGCCAGCAAUGCCGCGUGAGUGAUGAAGGCCUUAGGGUUGUAAAGCUCUUUUACCCGGGAUGAUAAUGACAGUACCGGGAGAAUAAGCUCCGGCUAACUCCGUG